AAACUUUCAACAACGGAUCUCUUGGUUCUGGCAUCGAUGAAGAACGCAGCGAAAUGCGAUAAGUAAUGUGAAUUGCAGAAUUCAGUGAAUCAUCGAAUCUUUGAACGCACAUUGCGCCCCUUGGUAUUCCGGGGGGCAUGCCUGAUCGAGCGUCAUUA
This 158-nucleotide ribosomal RNA is filed under the name Lasiodiplodia gonubiensis. RNAcentral describes it as "5.8S ribosomal RNA". It matches the Rfam family "5.8S ribosomal RNA". Rfam says of the family: 5.8S ribosomal RNA (5.8S rRNA) is a component of the large subunit of the eukaryotic ribosome. It is transcribed by RNA polymerase I as part of the 45S precursor that also contains 18S and 28S rRNA. Functionally, it is thought that 5.8S rRNA may be involved in ribosome translocation. Lineage: Eukaryota; Fungi; Ascomycota; Dothideomycetes; Botryosphaeriales; Botryosphaeriaceae. The record is from RNAcentral.